CUUGCUCCCUGAUGUUAGCGGCGGACGGGUGAGUAACACGUGGGUAACCUGCCUGUAAGACUGGGAUAACUCCGGGAAACCGGGGCUAAUACCGGAUGGUUGUUUGAACCGCAUGGUUCAAACAUAAAAGGUGGCUUCGGCUACCACUUACAGAUGGACCCGCGGCGCAUUAGCUAGUUGGUGAGGUAACGGCUCACCAAGGCGACGAUGCGUAGCCGACCUGAGAGGGUGAUCGGCCACACUGGGACUGAGACACGGCCCAGACUCCUACGGGAGGCAGCAGUAGGGAAUCUUCCGCAAUGGACGAAAGUCUGACGGAGCAACGCCGCGUGAGUGAUGAAGGUUUUCGGAUCGUAAAGCUCUGUUGUUAGGGAAGAACAAGUACCGUUCGAAUAGGGCGGUACCUUGACGGUACCUAACCAGAAAGCCACGGCUAACUACGUGCCAGCAGCCGCGGUAAUACGUAGGUGGCAAGCGUUGUCCGGAAUUAUUGGGCGUAAAGGGCUCGCAGGCGGUUUCUUUAAAGUCUGAUGUGAAAGCCCCCGGGCUCAACCCGGGGAGGGUCAUUGGAAACUGGGGAACUUGAGUGCAGAAGAGGAGAGUGGAAUUUCCACGUGUAGCGGUGAAAUGCGUAGAGAUGUGGAGGAACACCAGUGGCGAAGGCGACUCUCUGGUCUGUAACUGACGCUGAGGAGCGAAAGCGUGGGGAGCGAACAGGAUUAGAUACCCUGGUAGUCCACGCCGUAAACGAUGAGUGCUAAGUGUUAGGGGGUUUCCGCCCCUUAGUGCUGCAGCUAACGCAUUAAGCACUCCGCCUGGGGAGUACGGUCGCAAGACUGAAACUCAAAGGAAUUUGACGGGGGGCCCGCACAAGCCGGUGGAGCCAUGUGGUUUAAUUCGAAGCAACGCGAAGAACCUUACCAGGUCUUGACAUCCUCUGACAAUCCUAGAAGAUAGGACGUCCCCUAUCGGGGGCAGAGUGACAGGUGGUGCAUGGAUUGUCGUUCCAGCUUCGUGUCGUGAGAAAUGUUGGGUUAAGUCCCGCAACGAGCGCAACCCUUGAUCUUAGUUGCCAGCAUUCAGUUGGGCACUCUAAGGUGACUGCCGGUGACAAACCGGAGGAAGGUGGGGAUGACGUCAAAUCAUCAUGCCCCUUAUGACCUGGGCUACACACGUGCUACAAUGGACAGAACAAAGGGCAGCGAAACCGCGAGGUUAAGCCAAUCCCACAAAUCUGUUCUCAGUUCGGAUCGCAGUCUGCAACUCGACUGCGUGAAGCUGGAAUCGCUAGUAAUCGCGGAUCAGCAUGCCGCGGUGAAUACGUUCCCGGGCCUUGUACACACCGCCCGUCACACCACGAGAGUUUGUAACACCCGAAGUCGGUGAGGUA
Molecule: ribosomal RNA, 1390 nt
Filed under: Bacillus subtilis
Lineage: Bacteria; Bacillati; Bacillota; Bacilli; Caryophanales; Bacillaceae
Description: bacterial SSU rRNA
Rfam family: Bacterial small subunit ribosomal RNA
Source: RNAcentral